Molecule: ribosomal RNA, 2295 nt
Filed under: Triticum aestivum (bread wheat)
Lineage: Eukaryota; Viridiplantae; Streptophyta; Magnoliopsida; Poales; Poaceae
Description: partial small subunit ribosomal RNA
Source: RNAcentral
AUGUCGUCCCUGAUAUUUCUUGCCAUAGCAAACAACUCCCUCGUAGGACAACUACCCUUCAAUAUUGGCUACACGCUACCAAAUAUUCAGGGCUUAAUUCUCUCAACAAACAACUUUAGUGGCUCAAUCCCAGCUUCUCUUCUCAAAGCUUACCAUCUACGCAAGCUUUACUUGUACAAUAAUAGCUUUACUGGAUUCAUACCAUCCUUCAGUUCAUUGCCAAAUUUAAAGGAACUAGAUUUGUCGUACAACAAGCUAAAAGCAGGCGAUUGGGGCUUUAUCUCUUCGCUCUCAAACUGCUCCAGAUUGACUAUGCUGAUGUUGGAUGGGAACAAUCUCCAAGGGAAUUUGCCAAGUUCCAUUGGAAAUCUUUCCAAUAGUCUCCAGCAGUUUUUUCUAAGAAACAACAAAAUUUCCGGGCCUAUACCGCCAGAGAUUGGCAAUCUUGAGGGCCUCAGUUGGUUGUACAUGGAUUACAAUCUUUUCACUGGCAAAAUACCGCCAACAAUUGGGAAUUUGUAUAGCAUGGUCUAUCUAUCCUUUGCUCAAAAUUUGCUCUCGGGCGAAAUACCAGAUACUAUUGGCAACCUUGUUCAGCUGAGUUCUCUAAAACUGGAUUGGAAUAACUUUACUGGAAAGAUACCUGGAAGCAUAGGACGUUGUACUCAGCUCCAAAAUCUCAACCUUGCUCACAAUUCACUAGAUGGCAGUAUACCGAGGAACAUCUUCAAAAUUUAUUCACUCACUGGAGAGUUGGAUUUGUCACACAACUACUUCUCUGGGGGCAUGCCGGAGGAAGUUGGCAAUCUCAUUAAUCUGAACAAACUUAGCAUCUCAAAUAACAGGUUGUCUGGCAAUAUCCCAUCCACUCUCGGACAGUGUGUAGUUUUGGAGAAUCUUGAAAUGCAAAGCAACUUCUUUGUAGGAAGCAUUCCGCAGUCCUUUGUGAAGUUAGUUAGCAUCAAAUCCAUGGAUAUUUCCCGUAACAGUUUGCACGGAAAAAUCUCAGAAUUCCUAGCAACUUUGAGUUCUCUGGAAAAACUCAAUAUAUCCUUCAACAACUUUUAUGGAGAGGUUCCAAGAGGUGGUAUAUUUGACAACGCGGAUGCAGUAUCAAUCCAAGGAAAUGAUCAUUUGUGUACAAGUGUUCCAACAGGAGGCGUGUCUCUUUGUUCUCCACAGGUGGACGACAAGAAACAGAAACACAACUCAUUAGUUCUAGUCCUCAAGAUAGUAAUGCCAAUUGUUGUCACUAUAAUAAUUUUGUCCUGUAUUGCGAAAAUUUAUUGGAGGAAGAGAGUGCAAGGAAAUACACAUCUGCAAAUAGUCAACGAGCAUAUAAAGAAUAUAUCAUACGAAGACAUUGUUAGGGCAACCAAUAAGUUCUCCUCUGCAAACUUAAUUGGCUCGGGAUCAUUUGGAACGGUUUAUAAGGGCACUCUGCAGUUCAAGAAAGAUCAAGUUGCUAUCAAGGUAUUCAAUCUUGACAUCUAUGGAGCACAAAGGAGUUUCAUUGCAGAGUGUGAAGCCCUACGAAAUGUCCGCCAUCGGAAUCUUGUAAAGAUCAUCACAUCAUGCUCUUCUGUGGAUUCUACCGGGGGAGAUUUCAAGGCCCUAGUAUUCCAAUACAUGCCGAAUGGGGAUCUGGAAAUGUGGCUAAAAAAUAAAACCCUUGGACAUGGUGAAAGAAAUAUUCUGACUUUAAGCCAAAGGAUUAAUAUUAGUUUGGAUGUGGCAUUUGCUUUGGACUAUCUCCACAACCACUGUGCACCUCCGCUGAUACAUUGUGACUUGAAGCCAAGCAAUAUUCUGUUGGAUAAUGAUAUGGUUGCAUAUGUCACUGACUUUGGACUAGCAAGAUUUCUGUUCACUACAUCAAAUGAAUAUCAAGAUAGUUCAGCAAGUUUGGCCUGCCUAAAAGGAUCCAUCGGAUACAUCCCACCAGAGUAUGGCAUGAGCGAAGAGAUAUCAACCAAGGGUGAUGUCUACAGUUUCGGAGUGCUUCUGUUACAAAUGAUAACAGGGUGUGGUCCAAUUGAUGAAAAACUCAAUGAUGGUAUAAGCCUUCACGAAUUUGUUGAUGAAGCAUUUAAAAAGAAUAUGCAUGAGGUUGUCGAUCCCACAAUGCUCCAAGAUGACAGCAAUGCCGCUGACAUAAUGAAGAACUGUGUUAUACCACUGCUUAGAAUAGGCCUCUCUUGCUCUAUGACAUCACCCAAAGAGCGGCCGGAUAUGGGACAAGUUUCUACCGAGAUCCUUAGAAUCAAGCAUAUGGCCUUGCAAAUGGGUGUAUGA